AUGAACGUUGGCGGUGUGCCUAAUACAUGCAAGUCGAACGAAGAUGAUAGCAAUAUUGUCUUAGUGGCGAACGGGUGAGUAACACAUCGGAACGUACCCAGUUGUGGGGGAUAGCCCGGCGAAAGCCGGAUUAAUACCGCAUACGACCUGAGGGUGAAAGGGGGGGAUCGCAAGACCUCUCGCAGUUGGAGCGGCCGAUGGCGGAUUAGCUAGUUGGUGGGGUAAAGGCCUACCAAGGCGACGAUCCGUAGCUGGUCUGAGAGGACGACCAGCCACACUGGAACUGAGACACGGUCCAGACUCCUACGGGAGGCAGCAGUGGGGAAUUUUGGACAAUGGGGGCAACCCUGAUCCAGCCAUUCCGCGUGAGUGAAGAAGGCCUUCGGGUUGUAAAGCUCUUUCGGCAGGAACGAAACGGUGGAGGCUAAUACCUUUCAUCAAUGACGGUACCUGAAGAAGAAGCACCGGCUAACUACGU
This 478-nucleotide ribosomal RNA is filed under the name uncultured bacterium. RNAcentral's name for it is "bacterial SSU rRNA". It matches the Rfam family "Bacterial small subunit ribosomal RNA", at positions 29 to 506 of the family's 1533-position model. The record is from RNAcentral.